GCUCCCUGCUCUGUGCCUGUGGAAGGGUGGGAGGGCUGGCCCCCAGGAGAGAGUCCAUUCCUUCUCCUGACCCUCUGGCCUUCUUAGUGAUUGAGGUGGAGGAGGGGUCAGGACACAGAAUAGAGAGGCCUGGCCAUGCCGGUCUCUGGCCCUGGUGGGGAGAGAUGCCAUACUGCUUAGUGGCCAGUGGGUAGGAGGACACCUUCCCAGCCAGCAAGGAAAGUCCACCAGGCCUCCCUGGAACAAGGCCCCCCAGGAAGUAGGCUGUGAUGUAAGAGAAACGGGAAGGUCACACCUAAUGAUGAACUAACUUCUGUGGGGCGAUCUCUGCCCUCUAAGCAAGCAAAGGCUUGAGAAAGAGGGCCAAGAAGCAAAGCUGCCUACAGUGGGAUCUGCUGCUCCUCCUCCAGCCUGCAAGAGAGCUCAUAGCACCCUCUUGCCCGCUUCUUGCUCCCCAUAUUCUGGGGACCAGCCUCCACAUCCCACCCUGCAGGCCUUGCUAAACAUUCCUGGAAUCUGGAUUUGGAACAGUGGCCAGGGCAUGGCAUGAAGAGGGCACGAGAAGGCACAGAGCUGCAGUUACUCCUCCCCUCCAGAGAGCUUCCAUUUUUACUUGAACCAGCUUGCAGCCAGCUCUUGCCAUCCUCUGAGGCUGCAAGUCAUAUAUUAGAAAAUCCACCCAUUCAACAAGGGUUUAAGGAGCAUCUGGUAUGUACCAGGCCCUGUGGAUGAAAACAAACAUGGUGCCACCCUCAAGGAGCUUCCACGUGAGUGUGGGAGAUAGACAUUGAAUGAAAAUUUAUAGCUGAGCA
Pan paniscus (pygmy chimpanzee) is the source of this 812-nucleotide long non-coding RNA. Lineage: Eukaryota; Metazoa; Chordata; Mammalia; Primates; Hominidae. The record is from Ensembl.